GGCGGUCGUGGGGCGCGUCCUGGCCGGCCGCGAUCCGGCGCGACCGGUGCGGCUGCUCGCCGGGCGCUGAGGUCGCGUCACGGGACCGCGGC
RNAcentral lists this transfer RNA (92 nucleotides) under Caldovatus sediminis. RNAcentral's name for it is "tRNA-Arg". The record is from RNAcentral. Lineage: Bacteria; Pseudomonadati; Pseudomonadota; Alphaproteobacteria; Acetobacterales; Roseomonadaceae.